Non-coding RNA from Bos taurus (domestic cattle), 49 nucleotides. The record is from Rfam. Lineage: Eukaryota; Metazoa; Chordata; Mammalia; Artiodactyla; Bovidae.
AGGAAACCGGUAGAGGGGCCAGCCUCAGGCCCCGACAACGACUGGGGCA